GACGAACGCUGGCGGCGUGCUUAACACAUGCAAGUCGAGCGGAAAGGCCCUGCUUUUGUGGGGUGCUCGAGUGGCGAACGGGUGAGUAACACGUGAGUAACCUGCCCUUGACUUUGGGAUAACUUCAGGAAACUGGGGCUAAUACCGGAUAGGAGCUCCUGCUGCAUGGUGGGGGUUGGAAAGUUUCGGCGGUUGGGGAUGAACUCGCGGCUUAUCAGCUUGUUGGUGGGGUAGUGGCUUACCAAGGCUUUGACGGGUAGCCGGCCUGAGAGGGUGACCGGCCACAUUGGGACUGAGAUACGGCCCAGACUCCUACGGGAGGCAGCAGUGGGGAAUAUUGCACAAUGGGCGGAAGCCUGAUGCAGCAACGCCGCGUGCGGGAUGACGGCCUUCGGGUUGUAAACCGCUUUCGCCUGUGACGAAGCGUGAGUGACGGUAAUGGGUAAAGAAGCACCGGCUAACUACGUG
This 468-nucleotide ribosomal RNA is filed under the name uncultured bacterium. Its description in RNAcentral is "partial 16S ribosomal RNA". It matches the Rfam family "Bacterial small subunit ribosomal RNA", at positions 28 to 507 of the family's 1533-position model. The record is from RNAcentral.